GGGGGCGUAGCUCAGUGGGAGAGCACUGCGUUCGCAUCGCAGGGGUCAGGGGUUCGAAUCCCCUCGCCUCCACCG
RNAcentral lists this transfer RNA (75 nucleotides) under Chloroflexota bacterium. Its description in RNAcentral is "Chloroflexi bacterium (freshwater metagenome) tRNA-Ala". It matches the Rfam family "tRNA". From Rfam's summary of the family: Transfer RNA (tRNA) molecules are approximately 80 nucleotides in length. The record is from RNAcentral. Lineage: Bacteria; Bacillati; Chloroflexota.